CCCUUAGAUGUUCUGGGCUGCACGCGCGCUACACUGACACACUCAGCGAGUCUCCUGGUCCGAGAGGAUUGGGUAAUCAUGUGAGCGUGUGUCGUGAUGGGGAUAGAAUAUUGUAAUUAUUACUCUUCAACGAGGAAUUCCUAGUAAGCGCGAGUCAGCAGCUCGCGCUGAUUACGUCCCUGCCCUUUGUACACACCGCCCGUCGCUCCUACCAAUGGGCGAUCCGGUGAAUGACUCGGACUCUGGAAUUAGCUAUUUAUAGCUUUUAUCCGGAGGAAGUUUUGUGAACCUUAUCACUUGGAGGAAGGAGAAGUCGUAACA
Molecule: ribosomal RNA, 321 nt
Filed under: uncultured eukaryote
Lineage: Eukaryota
Description: partial 18S ribosomal RNA
Rfam family: Eukaryotic small subunit ribosomal RNA
Source: RNAcentral